This 254-nucleotide ribosomal RNA is filed under the name uncultured bacterium. RNAcentral describes it as "partial 16S ribosomal RNA". It matches the Rfam family "Bacterial small subunit ribosomal RNA", at positions 524 to 776 of the family's 1533-position model. The record is from RNAcentral.
UACGGAGGGCGCGAGCGUUGUCCGGAAUCACUGGGCGUAAAGGGCGCGUAGGCGGCCCUGGUAAGUCUGCGGUGAAAGCCCGGGGCUCAACCCCGGGUCGGCCGCGGGUACUGCCGGGCUGGAGUGCCGUAGGGGCAGGCGGAAUUCCGGGUGUAGCGGUGGAAUGCGUAGAUAUCGGAAGGAACACCGGUGGCGAAAGCGGCGCGCUGGAUCCCUACUGACGCUGAGGCACGAAAGCCAGGGGAGCAAACGGG